Non-coding RNA from Pelobates cultripes (western spadefoot toad), 293 nucleotides. The record is from the annotation of a GenBank genome assembly. NCBI's taxonomy places the organism in Eukaryota, Metazoa, Chordata, Amphibia, Anura, Pelobatidae.
CUGGGAACAAGGGCAAAAAGCCACCAAUACAGUCAAGAGGACACAUAGAUGGUACAAUCCAAAAGAGGUCCCCAUCUCCAUAUUCCUGGAGGAUCCGUUGAUUUAAUUUGGACUUUUUUUGGCCUCUCUUGAGAUAAAAUAAGUAGUUCAGAGAAGAAUGAAAAGUGUGAGUUUGAUGUUCUUCUCUGCAAUCAUUUCUGGAUUGGAUCAUGAAAGAGACAAGCAGAGUUUGGAGACCCAAAGAUGUCUGAGAUGGACUGCUGGACUGCUGCUUGCCAAGAGCUGGAGAAGAU